AAGUCGAGGGGUAUAGUAGCAAUACUAGAGACCGGCGCACGGGUGCGUAACGCGUAUGCAAUCUACCUUAUACAGAGGGAUAGCCCAGAGAAAUUUGGAUUAAUACCUCAUAGCAUAGCAACUUCGCAUGAAGUCACUAUUAAAGUUCCAACGGUAUAAGAUGAGCAUGCGUCCUAUUAGCUAGAUGGUAAGGUAACGGCUUACCAUGGCUACGAUAGGUAGGGGUCCUGAGAGGGAGAUCCCCCACACUGGUACUGAGACACGGACCAGACUCCUACGGGAGGCAGCAGUGAGGAAUAUUGGACAAUGGGCGCAAGCCUGAUCCAGCCAUGCCGCGUGCAGGAAGACGCAUCUAUGGUGUGUAAACUGCUUUUGUACGGGAAGAAACACUCCCUCGUGAGGGAGCUUGACGGUACCGUAAGAAUAAGGAUCGGCUAACUCCGUGCCAGCAGCCGCGGUAAUACGGAGGAUCCAAGCGUUAUCCGGAAUCAUUGGGUUUAAAGGGUCCGUAGGCGGUUUGGUAAGUCAGUGGUGAAAGCCCAUCGCUUAACGAUGGAACGGCCAUUGAUACUGCCAGACUUGAAUUACUGGGAAGUAACUAGAAUAUGUAGUGUAGCGGUGAAAUGCUUAG
RNAcentral lists this ribosomal RNA (631 nucleotides) under uncultured Flavobacterium sp. RNAcentral describes it as "bacterial SSU rRNA". It matches the Rfam family "Bacterial small subunit ribosomal RNA", at positions 59 to 693 of the family's 1533-position model. The record is from RNAcentral. Lineage: Bacteria; Pseudomonadati; Bacteroidota; Flavobacteriia; Flavobacteriales; Flavobacteriaceae.